This 253-nucleotide ribosomal RNA is filed under the name uncultured bacterium. RNAcentral describes it as "partial 16S ribosomal RNA". It matches the Rfam family "Bacterial small subunit ribosomal RNA", at positions 524 to 776 of the family's 1533-position model. The record is from RNAcentral.
UACGGGGGGGGCAAGCGUUGUUCGGAAUUACUGGGCGUAAAGGGCUCGUAGGCGGCCAACUAAGUCAUACGUGAAAUCCCUCGGCUUAACCGGGGAACUGCGUCUGAUACUGGAUGGCUUGAGGUUGGGAGAGGGAUGCGGAAUUCCAGGUGUAGCGGUGAAAUGCGUAGAUAUCUGGAGGAACACCGGUGGCGAAGGCGGCAUCCUGGACCAACACUGACGCUGAGGAGCGAAAGCCAGGGGAGCAAACGGG